UAUUAAUUCACUGUUUUGUCCCCCUGCAGAACUACAAAGAGCCUAGUGGAUAGUGUCUGGUCCACAGCUGGUGUCAGCAUCGCUGAUAGAUGAGGCCAAACACCUGGGAAACCUGCUGUUUAGAGUCUGGGAGAAGAUGCAGGGCAUUGUGAAUUACAUUCAUCCUGUCUGAGGAUCUGAUCAGUGUGAGAGAUACAGUGGAGUGAGACAGCAG
RNAcentral lists this long non-coding RNA (214 nucleotides) under Salmo trutta (river trout). Its description in RNAcentral is "lncRNA (ENSSTUG00000015175.1)". Lineage: Eukaryota; Metazoa; Chordata; Actinopteri; Salmoniformes; Salmonidae. The record is from RNAcentral.